UAAUAUCUGUGCUACUCACCUUCGUGUGAGCGAUGCUUCUCGAUCCUAUUCAGGUGGUUAAUCGGAUGAAAUCCGACGGUCGACCAGGUUGACUUGCUUAAAGUGCAUAAUCGCGUGUUAGGCGACUUCAAUGCAUUUUAGUCAGGUUAAUUUUGUCGGUUCCGCCACAGGCGGAGGGGCGAAGCGGUCGGCGGAGGAGGAGGAGAUGGUGUCGCGGCGGCGGCAGCCGAGGAGAUGCGGUCGGCGGUGGGAGAGAGAAACUGGGAGAGGUCUGUGUGGUGGCCUGGUGGGUGGAGGUGUCGGAUUAGAUUUAGGGCGCGGGUGGUAAGAGGAGGAGAUUAUCGAGAUACCCUAAAAAAUGUGGUGGGAUUUUUGGAGGAGGAGGGUAUUAGCGUCAAUUGGCUCUACGAAAAAUUUUAGGCUGGCGCCAUUGGGCCGAAGAAGGAGGCGGGGUGGCCAACUGAAUUCAGCCCAGCACCUUAUGUGAAGCAAUUUUUUUAAAAUUCAAAAUUAAGGUACAACCCAGCGCCUCGGCAAUUGAGCCUUCUGGCCGUGCCCUAUUCCUCACAUAGCACUUCAAAGUGUACAACCGCCUUUCAAUUGGGUACAUUCAACCAUAUUGCACAGGACCUCGGAGUAAUGCCUCAUCAGGUAAAUGGACAGCAAGGUGCAUCAUGACAUCAAAGAAAGCAGGGGGAAAAAAUUUCUCAAGCUUCACCAAAAUAAUAGGGAUCUCUUUCUUCAUUUCAGCCAAUACAUCCUUGUUAAGUAUUCUGCUGCAUAAUUCCCUAAAAAACUUCCCUAACUCCACUAUUGCUUCAUAAAUGUCCUUGUCCAAAAAUCCUCUCAUGGCAGCAGGUAAGAUUCUUCGCAAAAGAAUGUGACAAUCAUGUGUUUUUAACCC
This 904-nucleotide long non-coding RNA is filed under the name Setaria viridis. Its description in RNAcentral is "long non-coding RNA (SVIR_LNC006512)". Lineage: Eukaryota; Viridiplantae; Streptophyta; Magnoliopsida; Poales; Poaceae. The record is from RNAcentral.